UACGUAGGCAGCGAGCGUUUGUUCGGAGUUACUGGGCGUAAAGGGUGUGUAGGCGGUUGCUUAAGUUUGGUGUGAAAUCUCCCGGCUCAACUGGGAGGGUGCGCCGAAUACUGAGUGACUCGAGUGCGGGAGAGGAGAGUGGAAUUCCUGGUGUAGCGGUGAAAUGCGUAGAGAUCGGGAGGAACACCAGUGGCGAAGGCGGCUCGCUGGGCCGGCCCUGACGCUGAGGCGCGAAGGCGUGGGGAGCGAACGGG
RNAcentral lists this ribosomal RNA (254 nucleotides) under uncultured bacterium. RNAcentral describes it as "partial 16S ribosomal RNA". It matches the Rfam family "Bacterial small subunit ribosomal RNA", at positions 524 to 776 of the family's 1533-position model. The record is from RNAcentral.